GCUUGCUCCUUGAUUCAGCGGCGGACGGGUGAGUAAUGCCUAGGAAUCUGCCUGGUAGUGGGGGACAACGUUUCGAAAGGAACGCUAAUACCGCAUACGUCCUACGGGAGAAAGCAGGGGACCUUCGGGCCUUGCGCUAUCAGAUGAGCCUAGGUCGGAUUAGCUAGUUGGUGGGGUAAUGGCUCACCAAGGCGACGAUCCGUAACUGGUCUGAGAGGAUGAUCAGUCACACUGGAACUGAGACACGGUCCAGACUCCUACGGGAGGCAGCAGUGGGGAAUAUUGGACAAUGGGCGAAAGCCUGAUCCAGCCAUGCCGCGUGUGUGAAGAAGGUCUUCGGAUUGUAAAGCACUUUAAGUUGGGAGGAAGGGCAGUAAGCUAAUACCUUGCUGUUUUGACGUUACCGACAGAAUAAGCACCGGCUAACUCUGUGCCAGCAGCCGCGGUAAUACAGAGGGUGCAAGCGUUAAUCGGAAUUACUGGGCGUAAAGCGCGCGUAGGU
Molecule: ribosomal RNA, 502 nt
Filed under: Pseudomonas plecoglossicida
Lineage: Bacteria; Pseudomonadati; Pseudomonadota; Gammaproteobacteria; Pseudomonadales; Pseudomonadaceae
Description: bacterial SSU rRNA
Rfam family: Bacterial small subunit ribosomal RNA
Source: RNAcentral